ACUAAGCCAUAUCAUUAAAAAACGGGGACAAAAAAAAUUGAAUAUUCAAACGUGCGAGGGAUUGGAGUCAUCACGUUGUUUUAGCCAACGCGCCACGGUUGACUCUUAUCCAUGACCAACUCCUCCCUAUAAAUACUCCCCAAAAUUAGUUUCGUCGCCACUCAAUCCAUACAAAAAAAUUUCACAUUUCUCUCUCCCUCCCAAUCCCAACAUCCCACAACAAAUUAACACAAAACAUUCCGUUAUGUGCAGCGACGCCGAUCACGGCGGCGCCACCGCGCUCGCCGCCAUCCACCCCGACAUCAUCCAGUCGCACAUCCUGAACCGGCUGGACGGCCCCACCCUGGCCUCCACCAGCUGCGCCUCCGCGCAGUUCCUCUCCCUCUGCGCCGAGGACCUCCUCUGGCGCCAAAUCUGCAACGCCACGUGGCCCUCCACCGCCCACCCCACCGUCCGCGCCGCCAUCUCCGCCUUCCCCUCCGCCCACCGCUCCUUCUACUCCGACUCCUUCCCCGCCGUCGCCCGCCAGGGCGCCUCCCCCCUCCGCCGCGCGCCGCCGCAGACGGAGGGGCUGAUCUCCGCCGUGGACGUCUACUGCGACGACAAAUUGAUCUACUCGCGCGUGAAGGAGACGGAGACGCGCUCCGGGUGGUUCCAGAGCUCCCCCUUCAGGAUCGACCUGGUGGACCCCAAGGAGGCCGUGGCGGCGCCCCUCCGAUUCGACGGCGAGGACGGCGCGUGCAUGGAACUCGCCAGGGAGCGCCUCCGCCUGAGCUGGAUCCUCAUCGACCCCGCCAAGGGGCGCGCGGUCAACGUCGCCAGCGCCGCCGCCGUGGAGGCGCGGCGCCACUGGCUGACGGAGGACAUACAGCUCCGCUACGCCACGGUGGUGGACGCCGGGAACGGGGAGCUGGUGCAGUGCGCCGCCGUGGUGACCUGUGGCGGGAAGGACGGCGGCGAGCUGCAGGUGAGGGAGAUCAGCAUGCAGGUGGAGGACAUGGAGGGGAAGAUCCUCACCGGGUCCCACAGCCUGGGGAUUCUGGACGCCGCCAUGGAAGGCCGGAGGCUGAAGAGCCACGUCGGGAUGCAGAGGGAGGCGUACCAGAUGUUCCUGAGGAUGAAGAUACAGUCUAGAGAGAGAAAGCAGAGGAGAGAGAGGAGCUUGGACAUGGUGUGCAUAGCUGCCGGAGUCGCUAUUUUUGUCGCCAUUUGGACAUUUCUCUUGUCCAGAUAAUUAUUUAUUUUAAUUUUUUUGGAGUUGUGUAAAAAGAAAAGAAAACUGAAAUACAGUUAAAAUAGGUAAAAAGGGUGUGAAAGUGAAAACCUAGAAAAAUUAAUAGAGAAUUCAGAAAAGUCGAUAAUAUUAUUUUAUUCAUUUUCGGAUGUGAAGAUAAGCUUGAUGAAAGAAACCCAUCAACUAAGAUCAUUGGUGCGGUCAGAGAUCAUUAAUUCAAUGUUUAUUAGUAUAUAUUGUAUUAAUUCCUCAAGUCAGAUAUCAAAUUAAUGUUGAUAUCUGAAAAGGAUUUAUGCCAAACCCUAUAGUUACAAAAUCAUAAUCGCUAUUAAUUUUCUCUGUUAAUUGCCUACUAAUCACUUUAAUUAUCUAUAACCAUUGUAUAAAUAAACUUUGAGAUUUAGGUUCGGUAUACAUCUCUUCCUGGCCAGUUCAUGAAAUAUACUUGCAUUGCAUCGUCGUUUCUUUUAUGAGGCUAGCUUUGAUUACAUAUUAAUUAAUUUGGUUUUCAAUUAAUACACCUAUAAACAUACUAACAUAGGGUGGUACUAGUUGUGGUUAUCUGGUAUUGUAAAAUUUUGACUCGUAUGGUUUGGCUAGACCCAAUUAAUGACGCCAUGACUAAAUAUUUAUUCUAUAUAUAAUUUACAUGAUCACUUUUCUAGAAAUUUGGAUUAAAAUAAGAGGUAUAUAAAACUACAUGGAUAUAUUAAAUGGAAAAUUACAAUUUAUUUUGAAAAAUAUUCUUAAUUUACGUUUUUUUUUUUUAUAAACUUUCAACUUUCACUAUAUUGUGAUAAAUGUCCCAAAAUCAAGAAUCUCAUAGAAUAAUGAGUGAUUUCAUCGAAAUUUUAUGUGGAUUGCAUGAUUUUUAUUUUCUACCUAAGUAUAGAAGUGAGUAUUAUAUAUAUCCUAAACUUUGACUUUUUUUUUUUGAGAAUAGACUAAAUACAAUUUUUUUUUCCAGAUUGGAUCAAAAAUCGCUACUGUAGAAGGAAAGAAGAACAUUGGUGUUAUAGUGGUGUUCCGCUGCAGUGCUUGGUGGUGGCCGCGCGUGGUAGUGUCUGCAGCGGUUACUACCGUCGAAGAAGAAAGGCGGCAUCAUGGAUUUUUUCAAAGAAAUCAUUUUCUUAGAAAUUAUAGUUAUAUUUUGUUAGUCACUUAAAAUUAAUUAUUUGAUUUUUGAGAUAUAAAAUUAUAUACUAUUUAAUUAAAAAUAUAAUUUAAACGUAUAUUUAAUUUUUACGGUAUACCCGAAACGUAUUAGGAUGUGUUCUCUUUGAUUGUAAAUUUAUCAUGGGAAAAUGAGGGAUAAACAAAAUUUCACUCUUUAAAUCCUUCCUUUAUUUUUCUUCAUUUCCUUUCAAAAUAAAAUUUGACCCUUACUCAUUCAUCCUCUUCACUGCUUUAUCAUUUUAUUUUUGGUGUGAUAAUAUUAUCUCUUAUUUGUAGUAAAAAGGAGGAAUGAGUAAGUAUCAAAUUUUAUUUCGUAUGAAAUGAAGGAAAAUAAAGAAAGGAUUUAAAAGGUGAAAGUUUGUUUAUUCCUUAUUUUUUUACGAUAAAUUUAUAAUUAAAGAAAACGCAGACUUGCUGGUUAUAAUAUAAAGAAAUUAAAAGGGCACCAAACUUGUCAAAAAUGGAAUGCUUUGAUCAAGCAUCUCAGAGAGCUGACUGGAGUUAAGGCAGGCCAUAUGAUGUCAAAGUUUCACCCUACUGUUUCCUAAUUUAUUUUCAUAUACUAUAAUUUAUUAGUCGGAUAUGGAUUUAUGAGCUAGAAUUAUAUUCUUUAAUUAAUUCGGAUAUGGAUUUGUGAGCUAGAAUAAUAUUCUUAUUAGUUGGGUACUAUCAGUCAUGCAUGAAGUACACAUAAAUAGUUGGCUACACAUGACGCAAGCCACUCCAUUAAAUGUGAUUUUAGUUUUCUUUUAAAUACAAAGAAAAACUAUUACUCUACUAUUUGAUUUUUCUCUAUUACCAACCAUAUGGCAAUAUUUUAUUUGGGAGAAAUAGUGACAAAUGUAAGUAUAUUUUUUAUUUCGUGAGAGUACUUCCACAACCACAACUGAUAUAUAUACCUUUAACGUUAACCUGCAAACUACAUAGGACAAAUAAAUUACUUUGAUUUUUAGAUCAACAUAUAUAUAUAUGAGAGGGUUAAAAUAAGUACAUUUUUUAAGAUAUAAAAUAAGCAUCAUUUUCAGCUUUAGAUCAUCAAAAUCUACGGUUGAUUCAUGAAUUUAUAGUUCUGAGUUCGAAUCCCAAAGGUAGUAAAAAUUUAUUUUUCGCAAUUCAUACCUUUAUAUAGCGAAUUCAUACAUAUUUUACAUAAAAUUCAUACAUUUUUCUAUAUAUUCCCUCUGUUUUUUUAUAAAUGUCCCAUGGAAAAAAAGUACGUAUACCAAGGAAGUUGGAGUAUUACUUUUGUGCUCAUAUUUAUUAUUUUCAAAGUGUAAUAAAUUUAUUCUCAAAUUUUGAAAUAGGACACUUAAAAAAGGGUAAAGUAGGAACUUUGUUAUUUUUUAUUCUCAAAUUUUGAAAUAGGAUACUUAAAAAGGAACAAUAAAUUUAUCUUAAUAUGACACUUAAAAAAACAAAGGGAGUAUAUAAUACUCCAUAAUUGUAAGAAUAUUAUUGAACGUACAUAAAUAGAAAAAGUGACACAUUUUUCAAUAACGAAACUCGUAAGAAGAACUAAUACUAUUAAUUACAAGCGGUAUCAUACUUCAAGUAGAACUAAUUUGAAGUUACUUCAUACUUUAGCAAUUUUGAUAUCGAAUUACUUAUUAUGCAAUGCUAUGUUGUAGUAACAUACUAACAUAUAAUCUUUUAAUUCUCGAAGAUUCAUUGGAUCACUUACUGCCAAACAGAUAGGCAAGCCCCAUGAACUUAGGAUUGUUUAGAUGAAAUCGGUGAAACCUAAUUUGAUAGACAUGGUUUAGUUUGUGUCACACACAUUAGCCUAAUUAAAAACAUUAGCUAUGACUCAUUCAGUUGAGUAGAACAACAUCUAACAUAAUUUCGGCGAUGUUCGGGUAAUUAAAAUAGGCAAAAGUCAUUAAAUUACAUACCAAUGCAAUAGGCAAUAUAUACCCCUUUCCGAUAAACAAAUUAAUUAGGGCCGGUAAUCACCAUGUACGAAGUUUAGGUAGUUUUUGGAUUAUGCAUGAAUUAAAAUUAGCCUCAAAAUGCAUGAACCUUACUGUGUUUAACUUGCACGUGAAUUUUAAAAUCUGUUCCAUAUAUACGAACUUUUUUAACUCUUUUUCUCACAAAAUCUAAGAGCACUCACAUUGAUCGACUCGAAUCAGCCCAAGCUAUGAGUCGACCGAUGCAUGCUGGUGGAGCUCGAGUCUCAACCCGAUGAGAUGAGCUCGGCUCAUCGCCUUUUAAAGGCGAGCGCGUGUCCUACACACACUGAAUAAAAAAAAUGUUAUUUAUUUUGAAUUCCAAAGGCUAUCGCCGAUUUUAAUUAUUAUUUUUAUUUGGUUUUGUUUUUGUUUUCUUUACUUUGUACUCCCUCCGCCC
This 4759-nucleotide long non-coding RNA is filed under the name Salvia miltiorrhiza (redroot sage). RNAcentral describes it as "long non-coding RNA (SMIL_LNC006447)". Lineage: Eukaryota; Viridiplantae; Streptophyta; Magnoliopsida; Lamiales; Lamiaceae. The record is from RNAcentral.